Otolemur garnettii (small-eared galago) is the source of this 3329-nucleotide long non-coding RNA. RefSeq lists it as uncharacterized. The transcript is spliced from 6 exons. NCBI's taxonomy places the organism in Eukaryota, Metazoa, Chordata, Mammalia, Primates, Galagidae. The record is from RefSeq and is a predicted model, not a curated record.
GGCCCCACUGUGGAACACACACUGCUUUCCCAGCCCAGUGACACGCGUUCAAUAUGAGGCUAAAGCUGACCAGGCCGGGCCGUGGAGGAAUCCUGGGGCUUGGCGGCAGAAGGGAUGGGACCAGAGAGAAGGGUGUGAAGGAGGCUCCAGUAAGGGGCAGGAUAUUUCAGAUAAAGAAAGGUCAUAUCUUCGUACCUCACUUCCUGACACAAACAAGUUUUUACUGUUGUCAGCAACAAAGCCCUAAUAUAGCUGCGGAAGAGAAAAACUGCAUUGCAUUUUGCCUCCUGCAAGCAUCAUCAACAGUUACUGGAGGAAUGUAAUUCCAGAAAGCUUGAAAGCUGUGGUGAUGGUAAUUAUGUAUCAAAUGCCUGAUUCUAUUUCUGUUAUUAUUGUUUUGUCAUUUCUGUUCUACCGGCGAUCUGACUGAACUCGCGGAGGGACAAAUCCGGUUUUUCUUUUUGACUUGGGAAAAUUUAAUCAGGCCUGAUAGAAAACUCACUGCUCUCAGGGGAAACCAAGUAGGAGCCACUGAAAUGUCAUUUUAACAGAGCGUGGGUUUUGUGACUGUAGGAAAGGAUUUAAGGACGCUCCUUCUGUUCCGCUUCCCCGGCUGGGAGCGCCGGCUCCACGCACGCACAGACGCCACAGCGCCCGGAUGCUGUGGCUCCCUUAUCCGGGCUUCUGCAGCGCCACAAGCCCCUUCGGGAUGCUUGGAGGGGCUCCCGGUGGGUGGUGGUAUCAACGCGGCCGCGGCCGCCGCCGCCAGUUCUGCUGCUGUUGUUGCUGCUGCAGUCACGUGGGAGCCCCUUUAAGUUUCCAUAGAGAGGCCUCUCCGGUGUCACAUGAUGGACAUGAUAUAAUGAAACAACAUUGUGGAGAGGAAAGCAUUAGGGGAGCCCACGGCUACAAAAACAAGUGAGUGAGAAGAGGUGGGAGGAAGAGAAACUACGCCACCUCCCCUGCAGCCGAGCGCACGCAGCAACCUGGCGUGACAAGUGGGCGACGCCGGGGGACAGGGGAGCCGGGGGUCCUCAGCCCUGGCCCGGGGACCCCGCCGCCCACCGCGCGGAGAACAACUUUUAGCCGGCAGCUGCGGCCAGCGCAGCACCUGUCUCAGGAGUCUCCAUCGCUGCUCGUGAUAAUCCCAAGGAAAUUCUCUGAGAAUAUGCUCUACAAAUCUACGCGCGCAUCGUUUCCCCCCUCGCGUCGCUCUCGGGAAGGGGGAACCAGAAGAGCCUCUCAGCAGCCCAGAGCACCAUGGAGCCUCCUGGAAUGACACUUCUUGCUUCUUGGAUUGAGGGGAAUGAAGUAGGAUCUCACCUCACUUGUUUUCAGGGGGUCCUUUAACCAUGCUAAAGUGGGGGAAAGAAACACAGAAUCAUACAGUUUUCAUGUACUGACAGCCAGAAGCAUGUAAACAUCUGCAGAAACCAAACGUUUCCUGGAACUAAGCUUGAGCAGAAAUUUGUCACGUGGACCUUUGUUUAAAGAACCUAGUGAAAAACCACAGUUAUAUAAAAGAUCCAGGAGUGCAGUUCACGUGGAUUGGGUCUCUCUGGAAGGGAGAGAGUCUGAAGAGACCAAAGAAAAGGAAAAUUCGGGAAGUGCACUUGCUGGGCACAGGGACUGGCAUUUAUUAAUGUUUUUAGGGGUUAGAAGAGUUGGGAUACUUUGCCAUCUGGAGUUUCUCUGCGUGCUUCUCUGAGCUCAGUCCUGCCGGUUGGUGAGAGAUAACAGAUAAUACCCUGUAACAGCUGAGAGAAAAAUGGAAGAAGCAGAGGUACUUUUCAUGGAACAGAAAAAACCACUGUGCAGGUAACUGAAAUUAACAGGAAUUGUAUAUACAUUUAUUAAAAGUUAAUAUUUGUAAAUAUUUAGAAUAGUACAUGGCACGUAGUAAAUAAUUUACGUGUUUACUAUUAAUAAGUUUUUUUUAAUGUACUCAAGCCCAAAACAAACGAGUCAUACGGAUAAAAACUGUGCAGCAAAACCCAAAACCUUUGCUCCUAAAACAAGUUUGAACUUCACUGGUAAAUUCUGACAUAGCCUUGUGUGACCUGUUAUGGAGGCCCUGAGAAGCUUGAACUUUUUAUUCUUUGAGCACCCAUUCAUGAUUAUCUUUGAAGUGUCAGAUUGGUUUUAAUUUUGAACCAAAACAAACUUUUUUGACAUUCUUGAAGAGAUAUUUCCUUAUAAUUUGGAGAAAUAGAGCAUAGCUCAGCUUACAGGUAGCCCCAGAAAUGGCUCUCAGAGAGUUAGCAAAGAUAAUGAGGGUACCAGUAAGGGCAGUCCCCCUGUUGUCUGAUGAUGACAGAUAAUAACUUGGAAUAAGAAAUUCCAAACUGUUCACCCUGCCUAAGUGCUAACUUCACGUGACAUAACCGUUGGUGUCCCUGACUCCUACUGACAUAUUCAGCAGACAUUAAUAAGGGACAUAUUACAUGUCAAGUCUUUUACUUGGUGAUGGGAUUUCGCCUCGCUCUGCCCCAUCUCUCUGGAUCUGCACCAGUUCCUGCCUCUCUUUUGCCUCUGUGCUCAGGGUCUCCUUCCCAGAUCCAAGUUCUGGAUCCCACUAUCCCCUUCAUCUUCGGCCUUACUGCCCCAGGUCUUCUCCUGCAACAUAACACCAUCCCUUUAUUCAGGGUGGGAAAAUGCCCAAAGUGGGGCCCACAGGGUAAUCUGGUAGCUAGACCUUUCUCUGGAUGGCAUUCCUAUUCCAUCUUUCUUUCUCUGACUCCUGCUUCACAAUUCACAUAGUUUAUUUUAAAUACUACAUUGGUUUAUGUUCUGCCCUGUUUCCCCUCUGGAUUUGGGGCUGUUACCUCUGAUGGGUGCUUUUCUGUUCAGAGGUGUUGCAGCUGAUGUUCUUAUUGUGAGAGAGGAGAGACAGUGAGGGAGCAAGCGUCUCAGUGGCUUUCAGGCCUUUUUAUUGGAACCCACGAGAGGAAAUACGUGUUACCUUAGGGCCCAGUGUGCACACAUACUCGUCUAUACAUGUGGGUAUGUGGUUUCCUGAAAUAAUAACUUUAUGUGAGUUGUGAUAGAACUUUUUAAUCUUCUGCAUCCUGCCACUUUUUCUUUUUUCUCUUGUUUUUAAUGUUCAUCAUAAACCUACAAAGUGGAUCUCAUAACCUGCUAGUCAGUCAUCCUUUGAUAAACUUACAGUAUUCUAGCGCCAUGGUAGGACGCCAUGCUUUCUUGCUCUUCUUUCCAUAUUCUACAGUAAUGUGCACAAGUCUCUCUCUCUCUUUUUUUUUAGUAAGAGUUUCCCUCUAUUCCCCAGGCUAGUACCAUGGCGUCAUCAUAGCUUACAGCAACCUCAAACU